GACGAACGCUGGCGGCGUGCUUAACACAUGCAAGUCGAACGGAAAGGCCCUGCUUUUGUGGGGUGCUCGAGUGGCGGACGGGUGAGUAACACGUGAGUAACCUGCCCUUGACUUUGGGAUAACUUCAGGAAACUGGGGCUAAUACCGGAUAGGAGCUCCUGCUGCAUGGUGGGGUUGGAAAGUUUCGGCGGUUGGGGAUGGACUCGCGGCUUAUCAGCUUGUUGGUGGGGUAGUGGCUUACCAAGGCUUUGACGGGUAGCCGGCCUGAGAGGGUGACCGGCCACAUUGGGACUGAGAUACGGCCCAGACUCCUACGGGAGGCAGCAGUGGGGAAUAUUGCACAAUGGGCGGAAGCCUGAUGCAGCAACGCCGCGUGCGGGAUGACGGCCUUCGGGUUGUAAACCGCUUUCGCCUGUGACGAAGCGUGAGUGACGGUAAUGGGUAAAGAAGCACCGGCUAACUACGUG
RNAcentral lists this ribosomal RNA (467 nucleotides) under uncultured bacterium. RNAcentral's name for it is "partial 16S ribosomal RNA". It matches the Rfam family "Bacterial small subunit ribosomal RNA", at positions 28 to 507 of the family's 1533-position model. The record is from RNAcentral.